This 1010-nucleotide long non-coding RNA is filed under the name Anas platyrhynchos platyrhynchos (common mallard). RNAcentral's name for it is "lncRNA (ENSAPLG00000018993.1)". Lineage: Eukaryota; Metazoa; Chordata; Aves; Anseriformes; Anatidae. The record is from RNAcentral.
AGCAGAAGCGUGGGGUGCCAGGGCAAGGUGUGUGGGUGAACACGUUGAGCUGGGGCCGGGGAUAUUUAACAUACAGCUCACAGCAAUAUCUCACCGAGGUGUUUGCACAAGAGCUCAGGGAGGAAGGAUGAUAAGCUGAGACAUUACAGCACAGUGGACCCCGUCUGCCAGCCCCCGGAGAAGCAGAGAAGAGGCUUUAAUUAAACCAGAGGGACUCUUAACCUCCGGAGAGGAAGGCGAGCAGCCCGUCUUCCUCCUGCAGCAGCGCCUGAUGCAAUAAGCUGCCGUGAUCCAGGGGUGGAUCCCUCUCUCUCUGCUUUACUGCUCCGUGGGACAAAGCUGCAGCGAAAUUUGCCACAUCGAGUGCUGCUGUGCACUCCUCCUCUGGGCUGGGCUCGGAGCUUUAAUUAGAUCGAGUCCUGUCAGCAAGCAUAAUUGCUUGCUUCGGUUGAGAAGAGUGGACAGAAAGGAAGGCUGUGAAUUAAUUCCUCUCUGGGAGCAAGCUGGGCAUGGCUGCUGAGGGUCCUGUUGUGAAAACACGCUGCUGGGUUUGGCUGCUCUGAAAUACUUGGGAUAUUUAUUUAUUUUUUUUACCCCAUUCUCUUCCAAAGCUACUGGUUUUAACAGCAAUAGUAUUGACAGAUAGUGCAGCAUCUUCCCUGCUUAGAUGUUAAACUAAAAAGGUUGGUAUUCCAUGAGGCCUUCUACAAAUUUGUGUACUUAUUGGGCCAUUUUGGCCAGAUUUGGCAGAGGAAGUCUAAAGUUAAAAUUUGGAAGAUGAGAGAUGAGUGAAGGGGGCAGAAAGACCUUAAAUUAACCUUAAACCUUAUAAUUAUAGAGAGAGAGCACAAAGCCUAUAGUAACCUGGGAAUCCACUUGGUACAUCCUUAAAGACAGAAAAUCAGGGUUUGUGGAAGUCUGUUGCGAAAUGAUGAACAGCAGAGUGUAUUUGCACAUGGAGAUAUAAUAACAGAUAAGGGAUUUAAUAUUUUGGGGUGGUGGGGGAGGUU